UACGAAGGGGGCUAGCGUUGCUCGGAAUCACUGGGCGUAAAGGGUGCGUAGGCGGGUCUUUAAGUCAGGGGUGAAAUCCUGGAGCUCAACUCCAGAACUGCCUUUGAUACUGAAGAUCUUGAGUUCGGGAGAGGUGAGUGGAACUGCGAGUGUAGAGGUGAAAUUCGUAGAUAUUCGCAAGAACGCCAGUGGCGAAGGCGGCUCACUGGCCCGAUACUGACGCUGAGGCACGAAAGCGUGGGGAGCAAACAGG
Molecule: ribosomal RNA, 253 nt
Filed under: uncultured bacterium
Lineage: Bacteria
Description: partial 16S ribosomal RNA
Rfam family: Bacterial small subunit ribosomal RNA
Source: RNAcentral